UCCAAGGUGAACAGCCUCUGGU
This 22-nucleotide non-coding RNA is filed under the name Arabidopsis thaliana (thale cress). Lineage: Eukaryota; Viridiplantae; Streptophyta; Magnoliopsida; Brassicales; Brassicaceae. The record is from RNAcentral.